GACAUUGAGUUUUGAUUUUGUUAUUUUAAUUAAACUUUGAAUAUUAAUUAUUUAAUUUUAUUUCACUAUCUAUUUAUGAUAUCAUGAUGAGAUACCUUGCGUGCUUAUGGAAAGAAUUUUCUAUGAGUAUGCGGUAGUUGCUAUGACCUCUAGCUCGUCAUCUCGGGAUCAGGGUGUGAUAAUUAAUAUAGUAUCAGAAUAUAGAUAGAUAAUGACAUGUAGGAUUUGAUAUAGAAUUAGUGAGUAAUGGGUAGACAUUAGGGAUAUUAGGACACUAGUUUAUAAUGAUUGUGACAUGACCUACCUUAAAUAAGUUUAUAACUUUAUUAAGGAUAGGUUAUCAUCCCAAAUUGAUAUAGGUCAACAUGCCUUCGUAAUGAAUGAGGACUAUUUAAAGAUCUAAUGGAGGGA
This 411-nucleotide long non-coding RNA is filed under the name Elaeis guineensis (African oil palm). RNAcentral's name for it is "long non-coding RNA (EGUI_LNC031184)". The record is from RNAcentral. Lineage: Eukaryota; Viridiplantae; Streptophyta; Magnoliopsida; Arecales; Arecaceae.